UGGGCUUGACAUGUCCGGAAUCCUGCAGAGAUGCGGGAGUGCCCUUCG
RNAcentral lists this ribosomal RNA (48 nucleotides) under uncultured organism. RNAcentral describes it as "partial 16S ribosomal RNA". The record is from RNAcentral.